Non-coding RNA from Styela clava, 4147 nucleotides. Lineage: Eukaryota; Metazoa; Chordata; Ascidiacea; Stolidobranchia; Styelidae. The record is from RefSeq and is a predicted model, not a curated record.
CACUAAAUUAAAGCAGGAAUUUCAAUAAACUUAAUAUUUUAUCAAAUAAUUAUUCAAAAUGAGUGACUCUACAGCAAAGCUCUAUUAUUUAGAGUUUUUAUGUGGAUACUUUUUGGAACCAAAAGACAUCAUGGACUAUUUUCCUGGCGAAACUGGUCUGUUCACGUCAGUUGGAGAUGAGUUAAUGUCUAUUCCAACAACUGGUGACAAUGGGAGGAAACAAAGAGUCAACAUUUUUCUUGAAUGGCUCAAGAAUGCAGAUGAUGGUUAUAGUGGAAAUAAAUACCAAGAAUUUAUUGAUGUUUUGAAAAAAGAAGAGAGAAAUUACUGUUGGCUUGUUCCUCUGUUGACGGAUUGCACCAAUUUCAAUGCUGAAUCUAUAUUUCGAUAUCUCAAAAAACCUGAAAAGAUCAAAAGGAUUUUUCAAGUGAUUUUCCCUGCACUGGAAAAUAUUAAUGUUAAUGAAAUACUUAUUUAUUUGAAAAGAGAUCUUUCUGAUGAUGACAGAGAAGAAGUUGAAAACAUCACAUCUCGAUUAACUUCUAGGCAUGGAAUGUUUGCCCUAUUAAACAAGCUGAUUUACAAACCACCUGGCUGGAUCAGUAGUUUCAUUAAUGCAGUAAAGGAAUUAAAUUACAAUGUUACUUCUUCUAUGUUUGAUGAUGCUGUUUAUGCGGAUUUAGCCACAGCUUUAAAAGAUUAUUUUGAAUGCUUUGACGACAGUGUAGAAUUUGUAGUUGAAGAACAGCCAGAAGCAAUGAAUGAACAGAUGGCAUGUAUUCACCAAGGAGCAAUGAGUUCCUUUGUAUCUGACGCAAAUGUUCCGUCGUGUAGUUUGAUGAAAAGAAAACAAAAUGAUGAAAAAGAGAAUUUUCAAAAAGGUUUUUGGCUUCCUGAACAACAACAUGUUGAAAUACCAGCCCAACCAGCAUCUAUGCAAUAUGAGCUUCGCAAUUAUCAAAAAGAGUUGUCUAAGUUAGCAUUGAAUGGCGCAAAUGUUAUAAUAAGCGAAAGAACUGGAUCAGGAAAAACCAGAGUUGCUGCUUAUAUAAUAGGAGAACACCUUAAAGGAAAUGUUACUAAAGUUGGUCAAUGUAAAGAACAAAAAGUUGCCUUUUUUACACCAACUGGAGGACUUGCAGAGCAACAAUGUGGUAAAAUGAAAGACUAUCUUCGCAACAUAAAGAGGAUUGACAUGCUUCGUGGAAAACUUGAGGAUGAGUUGGAGAAAGAUUUUCAAAAGCGAAUUUACAGUUCUGACUUGAUUGUGAUGACUCCACAGAUACUGCUGAAUUGUCUGGAAGAUAAAUCAGUGAAAUCAUUGUUUGAUUUUUCGAUGAUGAUAUUUGAUGAAUGUCACUAUGUACAUGCUUCCCAUCCUUAUGCUGAAAUACUCGGAAGAUAUUUGAUUGAAAAAAAGCCUACAGAAAAAAACAUUCAGAUCAUUGGAUUAACUGCAACCCUUGGAGUUGGUGCUUCAGCUAAUAUUGAUGACGCUAAGGAUCAUAUUUUCAAGUUGCUUGGUAUCAUGGAUGCAGAGGAUGGAAUAGUAUUUGUGAAAGAUCCUGAUAAUGUAGAUGAAUUGAAUAUUGUUUGUCAUGCUGCAUCAGAAGAAUCUAUUCAAAUAGAUAUUGAAGAUGAUGAUGGUCUUUUCAGACAGCUUAUCAGAGAAACAAUGACCCAGAUAAUUUUUUUGAUUGAAAAACUUGGUGUGUUCGAAGCUCUUGGAGGAACAGUUCCACGAAAAAUGGGAACUAUGACUACAUUGGAUAAAGAGUUUGAAACUUGGUGCUUUAAACUUCGUCACGCAUCUGGAAAUUUAAGUGCUGAAGACUCUAAGGGACUCGGAAGAGAUUCAAGAUCGUGUGCCGAUGCUUUGCAGUGUCUAUACAGUGCAUACACCCUUUGCUACAACUGUCAUUCUACUUAUGCAAUUGCUAAGAUUGAAGAUUUUGUUGAAAAACAUUACAUUGCUGAAAAGGAAAAGAAUACAACUGCAGAGAAUAAUCUGCAUGAAUUGAUAUCUGAUGCUUCGAAUAAACUGGUCAAUUGUGUUGAUGGAACGAAAAAUAAAACAUUGGAUAUCAUGAAAGAAAAAAUAAUUACAAAGUCUCAAAAUUAUGAUGAAUUUAGAUGUAUGGUUAUGGUUUCCAGGAGAUACUUUGCUGGUUGUCUCAAGAAUUGGAUUAGUGGAGAUUCAGAGCUAAGACAUCUCAAACCUCUGGUUUAUAUCGGAAUUGGAAAUAAAAGUUCAAGUGAUUACUCAGGUAUGAGUCACUCAGCUCAAAAUGCAGCCCUUCAAAAAUUUAAAAAAGGUGAUUGCAAGGUACUUGUCUGUACCCCCGAUGCUGCUGGGGUAGGAAUAGAUAUUCCAGAUUGCAACCUGGUUAUAACAAUUGACUGUGUGAAAAACGAAAUAUCCAAAGCACAACUUGCAGGUCGUGUCAGAGCAAAAAAUGGGGAGGUUCUCAAUAUUUACUUUGGAAAUAAUAUUCAAAAAGAUAAACUCAGCGGAGAGAAACUGCAGCUCAUGGACAAGGCUAAAAGACAGAUUCACAAAAUGCUGAACAAAAAUCCUGAUGAUUAUAGGAAUAAAAUGCUUUAUGGACAAAAAAUGGCAUUAGAUGAUUUGGCAAAAUCUGGAAUCAAAAGGCAAGGCACAAGUCCUUUACGAGUUGGAGGAGUAAAUUUAUUGUUGUGUCGCAAAUGUAGUGUAUUUGUCUGUUACACUUAUGAAAUAAUCAGAAUGAAUGAAUAUCACCACACAGUUGAUCGCAUUGAUUUCAAGGAUAAGUAUGCAAAAGUCCCACACCCAUACAGAGGAAUUAAAAUUGGGGAUGAAUAUAUGACACAUUUCAACAAAAUUCGCUGUGAUAAGUGUAAGCUUAACUGGGGAAAUGAGGUGAAGUGGAAAAAUUACCUGAUGCCAAUUAUCACGAUCAAGGGUUUUAAAAUUAAGGAGCAGAAUACGGAAAACAUUUUUCAGCCAAGAAAAUGGAAAGCAACACUUCUGAAAAUUCCUGAAAAAAGCAGAGACAAGUCUCUUUAUGAUAAACUAUUCACCAAGUGCAACGAAAGUGAAGAUUCUCCUAACAGCCCUGAGUUGAUUCGUUAAUAUGUCCACUGUGAUAAACAAUAUUAUCACACUUGACUUUUUUUAUUAUUUCAACAUUCCAUAAUAAUUUUAUAUAAUUAUAUUCUUCAUGAGUUUGAAUCUUGUAUUUGCCUACUUUAUGUAUUACCAUAAUAAUUCCAUCUUCUGCCAGCGUGUAUUUCUGGGAAUGCUGAAAAACAUUAUUUCCAUUGUAAUUUAAUUUUAAUGAUAUCACUUUAUAUUGAUUUAAGUUAUUUAAAAAGUAAGAUAUAUUAUGCAUAAUGUACGAGUAUGCUGAAACCGUUUCAAUGAUUUCACUAGUCUUGAUGACUCUCGGCAUUUGGUAUCAGGUAAUAUGUUGAAAUGGAUAUCAGCUGGAAUUUCUACUAAAGGAAAUUGAAAUACAUAUGUUCUAUUGUUUCCUGUUUUAGUAAUCAAUUCAUUUGAUAUAAGAAGAAGCGAUACCGAAUGUCAGAAAUAAUUCAGUAUCUUUCUAGACAAUAGAUUUAUUGUAUUUGUUUUUUGAACGUCGUGUUAUUUUUGCCAAGUUGUAUACUUCAUCAUUACUGUAUGUUUGUGUAUACUAAUUUAAUCAAGUAUGUGACUAAAUUUGUCAUAUCUAAAAUAUUUGACUCUGUUUGUAUUAAUGGAAAAUCGAAGACACGAUGGUUCGUUCACAAAAGACUAAGAUCCAGUACUACUCCCAUCCAAAGACGAAGAAAACAAUGUUCUGGAUAUGUGACUCAUGAAUUAUUUGAAUUUAUAUCAUAUGUUAUUUUUUUUUACGAAAAAGCUGAUGAUAACUAGAUGCCUUCUGUGUUUAAAAGUAUAUAAACAUCAUACCAUAAUAAGAACCUACUUUGAUAAUUGAAUCUUUUUGAAAGUACGCCUUUUUAUACCCAGGAAUAUCAGAUUUAGUAGUCUUUUUCACAAGUAACCAGUUUACCAAUAUUGCAAUUGAUGGAGUUUAGGUAUACGGUAUAUUAUAUCAUGUCAAUGAAAUUUAACUGCUUUGUGACAUUACAAACUAGUUGAAGGCUUUUCAGCAUGAAA